CAAACGGCUCCUCUGUGUGUAUAUAGAAUGUGGCCUGGGCUAUACAUACACUCAAAAACCUGAUUCUCUUCUCCACAGGACCACAAACAAGAUCAUCUCUCUCUCUCUCUCUCAACGUCUUAGGGUUUUUUUCUCCCUCUUCCUGUGAAAGCCUUGUUGGCUUUGCACUUUGCAGAGAGGAAGGGAAGGGAGUGAUAUACACGAUUGUUGUGUAGGUAUAUGCAAUGGCUACGGCACCGGUGCAGUCUCAGCCACUGCACAACUUCUCGCUGCCGUUCUUGAAAUGGGGAGGCAAGAGCCACACCAACACCACCAGCCGCUACCGCCGAACCGUAUCUCCAGCAUCCUCCGAGCCCGAUUCUGACUACCACGAUUCCGACCCGCCGCCCCCGCGGGUAGGAUCCAGGUCCGCACGCAACCGGUUCGGGUUCUCUCCCUGCUCCAUCUCCGACCGAUCUCAGAAGCCGGAGCGAGGAGAGAGCUGCGCGGAAGCCGAUGACGGCGGAGAGAGGAAGCGGGAAGCGACAGAGGAGGAGGAAGCGGAGGCGCAGAAGCCGUGGAAUUUGAGGCCGAGGAAGGCCGCGCAGAGGAGCGCGAUGAUGGAGAUCCGGGCGGAGAGUGCGGCGAUAGCGAUAGCAGGGGUUCAGCAGCAGCAUCAGAGCGAGAACGUGCAGCCAAAGUCGCUGCGGCUGAGGGGGGCGGCAGAGUCGCAGAGCACAGAGAAGAGGAAGUUUUGGAUCGCGCUUUCCAAGGAGGAGAUCGAGGAGGACGUUUUCGUUAUGACUGGCUCCAGGCCCGCUCGCCGGCCCCGGAAGCGCCCCAAGAACAUCCAGAAACAGCUCGACAAUGUUUUUCCUGGGAUGUGGUUGGUGGGGACGACAGCUGAUUCUUAUCGGGUUGCCGAAGCUCCGGCGAAGAGAUAGAUAUGCUCGUAGCUCAUGCUUACUAAAAUUCCUCAUACGAAGAGGUAGAUACGACCACAGCAAAUUGUGAUUAGUGAAAGCCUGGAGAGGUUCAGCGUCAUUGUUCCCGCAAAAUUCAGACCUCGAUUGGAGCUAGCUGCUGCUAGUCUGUGGUGGAACAGUUGAGACUUGGGUUUGAGUUCCAUUGUCAGCAUUGACAAUCAUCUUCAACGGUUUCCUUCCUGGCUUGCUUGCCUGAGAGGGGAGAGAAUGGGAGGAACUAUUGUCUCUCUAUCUACAUAGUUUCUUAGCUAUCCCCAGGUCAGCAUAUCCAUGUGUGUAUCCCUUGCUGCCCUCUUUGCCGUUUGAGGUAAUGGCAUGCAUGUAUAAUGAUGACAAAUUGUAGAUUGCAUCUGACUUAGCAGUAUGUAGUGCGGAAAUGGUGAAACAGCUAAUUUUAUCAACUAAAUUGCGACGUGGAUAAAUAAUCUCUCUUUUUUUUUUUCUUCUUCCCUCCAAUUUUUGUCAUAACAUUGGAUGGUGGAUGAUAUAAGCCAUCGAUAUAGCAUCUGAAAAUCGUAGA
Molecule: RNA transcript, 1485 nt
Organism: Alnus glutinosa
Lineage: Eukaryota; Viridiplantae; Streptophyta; Magnoliopsida; Fagales; Betulaceae
Exons: 5
Source: RefSeq, a predicted model, not a curated record